UACGUAGGGGGCAAGCGUUGUCCGGAAUCAUUGGGCGUAAAGCGCGUGUAGGCGGCUCGAUAAGUCUGCUGUGAAAGUCCAGGGCUCAACCCUGGGAUGCCGGUGGAUACUGUCGGGCUCGAGUCCGGAAGAGGCGAGUGGAAUUCCUGGUGUAGCGGUGAAAUGCGCAGAUAUCAGGAGGAACACCAAUGGCGAAGGCAGCUCGCUGGGACGUGACUGACGCUGAGACGCGACAGCGUGGGGAGCAAACAGG
RNAcentral lists this ribosomal RNA (253 nucleotides) under uncultured bacterium. RNAcentral describes it as "partial 16S ribosomal RNA". It matches the Rfam family "Bacterial small subunit ribosomal RNA", at positions 524 to 776 of the family's 1533-position model. The record is from RNAcentral.